AGGCGGCGGCGGUGCGGAAUGGAGAGGAGCCGGGACAGGAGGCGGAGGUGGAGGGGCGGAGGUUCGCUACUGCUGCCGGGCUCUAGGUACCACUGCCGCCGACGUCACCGGGCUACCUUCGCCGCCGGUAGGGAUCGGCAACGGCGCACGAAGACGAUGAGUGCAACCGGUACCUAGACGUCGUCCCCGGAGGGAGGAGGCAAAGGGUCUCGGGCGUCGAUUAAGCGGUAGGCCUCUAAGCCUCGUCGUUCGCGGCCUGCUCCUGGCAUUGGACGACCUCCGGGCUCGCGCUGGAGCAGUUGCCGCUGCUGCGGGGCGUGUUCUAGUCAUCCUCGAGAGACGGAGAGGUUAAGGUACCUGCCGCUGCUGGCCCUGGGGUGCGAGUUUGGGCUGCUCGAACUUGCCGCUCCAGUAGGCUCGGCUGGUAGUACUAAGGGGUGUCUUGUUAUUCCAACUGAGAGAGCAAGACAAAAAGAAAAGAAGGUUAACGGUCGACGAGAAGAGAUCGUAUCAAGAGGUCCCCGAGUGGUUAAAAGAACCUGACUUGGACUACGUCUUUUACACAAGUGAAGCAAAGGACUAUGAGCGUUCGAUGUCGGUUCAAUGUCGGUGGCUGUCUGAUCGUGACGAUCUAUAAAGGAAAAAGAAGAGAGUGGCACGCUCGUAAUCGUCACAUCUUAAACACAAUUUAUUGAUGAUCAAUCUGUUCGACACACCACCAAGUGCAAAUCAAGGAUUAAUCCGGUACGGUCAUUACUUAUUUCGUAUAAUCACAAGAAGAGGAAAGAUAACAAUAAUCAGACCAUAUAGAGAUAUAAAAAUAUAACAGAAAUGAGGGACCGCAUCAACGUUUGAUUAUUAAUUGCUACACGUCUUGAACAGAUUUAAUCUACAUGAGUCACCGCCUCGAUGUUGUUUAUUCAACCCGCCCGGUUAAAAAAAGGAGAUUUGGUAUGUCAAUUCAUCCGUACUCAAUCACUUUAAAGUCCAACGGACAUAUCCCUUUGACCAUUGUCCUACUACAACAGUUCAUUUUAAACCUGUUUAUUUACUUUAAAGAACACGCGAUCGACGGACGACCAAGAUACCAGAACACGAGCAGCGGACCCAUCAAGUAGUCACCGAUCGGCGACCGUCGGCGGUAUACCGGUACGGGCAGCACCGUAUCCCUACCCAGUGGCAUCCCCAACGAUGUACGCCGCGGGCAGACGGACCGAUAACCUGGCGAGGUAGAGACUCACCGAACGAGUCACGACUUAGCCCCGUCUCUCGAGUAUCGACCUACGCUCCCUCUGUACGAUAACCUAAUUCGACAAUGUACAUGUUUUCUCAAAAUAAACAGAGACCUCGACCCACCCGGUACCGGAACAAAACGGGAGUGCUUCGAGGCGGUCACCUAGAUGAGUAGAAACAACAACAAUCCUAGUUUAUAGUUACGAUCAACUCAGUAUGAUGGAGGUAGAACUUUAUAUUCAGUAAAAAUAUCCGAUUUGAUCGGAUGUUUUUACAGAAUAUAAAACUCUGCCUCAAUCAUGAACAAUCAAGACUGGUACGGAUCGAAUUCCUGAGUAACCAUAAGAACUAUUCUUUUAGGACGUAUACAAGCAUGUACAAGGAUAGACUUAAUUAUAACCUACAAAGAACCACACACGUACACUGUCAGUUCCGUGUAAAAGUGUUAUAUACAACCAUAUACCACAACACUUUGAAGAUACUAACUUGUAUGGUGCCGUUCUAAAUCUUCAUUGAAAGAAGGUAGAUGUUUUCAACUCUCCGUCUCCCUCUCCGUGUGUCAAAAUGGUAACUUAUUCGAUGAGGGACUCGAUCUCCCUCCCCGUGUUCUAAAUGGUGACUUAUUCGACAAGGUAAGAUGUACUAACUCCGAGAUUUUACUUUAUUAUUUUACCACAUUGUUAGACAUCGAAAUCUCUAAAUCUCCGUGUGUAUCUAUUACUUUAUCACAUUGUUAGACGUCCAAACUUUUCAAAUCACAAGAAUAAACUAGAACCAAACGUCGUUUAUUAUUAUAACCACAACAGUAACGUGAAACCCGAGGUUACUUUAAGAACAUACACAGUUAAGAGACAGUUUUCAACAAAAUUGUCACACGAUUCAAAACAGCCUACGCAACUGAUCCAGACAGAGUACCUGUGGGUUUAAAACAUACGUUAAAAGAGUUGUGGGUCUAACCUCGGAUUCCAACCUGUAAAACUACCCUGACGCCUAGAAGCCUACAACCACGACUCUAACUACACCGGGAUCGAUGUACAUUCGCUUCGAAUACUACAGCUAGGAGGUCCGACGUGACGGUAGCAAAAUGGAGUCUUUGACAACCAGCAUUAAAACGUAGUGGUGAACAAUUAAAUAAAUAAUAACAAGGACAGUUUACGAUUAAGAACAGUUUAUCAUUAAGAAGUCGACAUACAACUACUAGAGAAUACCAACGUUCACUUUACGUAGGAACCCGUUUUACAGGUGUAAGAAUCUAUCCAGAUAAUGACAGAGGAAGUAUCGGAAGACCAAAAUAAAAGUGAUAUAUAGAAAAAACCAGAUUCAAAGUUGAAAGUUCACAGUUGUUAUACACCUAUAACAAGAAAUCCCAUAUAGGUUAAAACAUUACGAGAUAUAUUAUCCCUUCCAAGGCCCCAACCCAUUGGAUAAAAAACGUUUAACCACCAUGGGUUUCCACAACAAGGCGGUUUAUAACUGUUCAGCUAAGUACGGAUGAAUGUUCCUACCUUUUUAUUAUAUGAUGACCUGUGUUGACAUCUUCAUACAUCAACAAACAAAAGUGUUGCGUAUUGAUAGGGAAGAAGAUAUAAUUAUUGAAUAGUAGUUCCUAUACUGACCUGUAUACUAUUAAGUUACUUAGAAAACGUGACGUCAUACAUGACAGGGGGAAACUGGUCACAAAAACAAAAAGAACAAGCCUACUAUACGUGUUGAACUGUAAAGUAAAAAAUGGGUAUUGAACCAACAAAAUUAAUUAUGUCUAGAUGUACUUUGUACAUACAUCAUCUAUGAUACAAUAAGAGUGAACAUCGUCACGUUCUAAAUUCUUAAAACCUGUCGUACUCAAUAAGUAAAAAAUAUAAACAAAGUUAAGAGAAUAAAAAUGUUAGAUAAGUAUAGAUGUUUAUAGAUUACCACAACAUUUAUACGAUCCAUACUAACGCAUGGCCCGAUGAACCACGACGGGUAGUGUUAAACGUGACUGUACCAUUGAAGGUAGUUCUCCCGGCUGACGUUCUUGAACUUAUCGUUGAAGUUAUCAAAUUUACAAGACAAACACACUUGACCUAACAUGACAAAAAAUUGAAAGGGUUCAUUAUAUACAACAUUUGAUAGUAAAGUACCUCCUAAAACAUUCGACGAUACAACAUCUAUGAACACCCACUGACGUAAAACUAAGUAUACAC
This 3419-nucleotide ribosomal RNA is filed under the name Triticum aestivum (bread wheat). RNAcentral's name for it is "partial small subunit ribosomal RNA". The record is from RNAcentral. Lineage: Eukaryota; Viridiplantae; Streptophyta; Magnoliopsida; Poales; Poaceae.